CAUAGUAUUUCUUAUCAGGUUUUAAAGUUAUUGCUCUCAUUCCUACUUGUCGCCAUUUUGAUUUGUCUGUGAAGUACUGUGAUCUUGAAGCAAGGAGAGUUCAAAGGCAAAGCAGGAACAGGAACAGUGGUGAUUAAGUGAAGAGAGAUGAUUUAAGUAAUCAGCACAGUGCUAGGUGUGGAGGGGAAUAGAAAGGAAGAAGAAACAGUCUCUGGUCUUAAACUUAACAAAAAAAGGGAUUGGGCAAAUCAGACAGAAGAAUAGUGCUCUGAAAUACUUCAGUGAAGCAACCAUAUCUAAGUAUGAAGGAUGCCAAGGAGGAAUGAAUGGCCAAUAAAUGUCAGAUGAAACAAAGACGAUGCAGAGAAAAAUACGGAAAGGCCAAAGAAAGAAGUUGAAAGGCAACUGUAAUCGAAGUUUCAAUGACUGCAGGGAUACAGAAAUGGCAAGGUUCUUAGGGAUCAUCUGUUAUGAGCCAGUUCCCACAAGUGAGGAGUAAAUCAGCCGGGGCCCACAGAGGUUAAAUGACUCUGCCGGGGCCAGCUACAGGGCGCAGAGCACGCUGACCUCGGUUCCACACUGCUGCACACCAGGAGGGAAAAGAUAUUUGUCCACUGAAAUUUGGAAAUGUUACAGUGUCAUGAGAAAGCACAAGAUGCCUGGAAGAAGUGACAAGAAAAAAUGGACCUCACAACUAAGGUAAGAUCACAUCAACCUGCAGUUCUUAAAGUGUGGUCCCCAUGGCAGCAGCCGCAAGCUCACCUGGGAAUUCGUCAGAAAUGCAAAUGUUUGGGCCUCUCCUCACCUUCACCAGGCCUACGGAAUAAACCCAGGAGGCAGGGCCAGCAAACUGUGUUUUAACAAGCCCUCUGGCCUGGAGUAACAAAGAAAAGUCGCUGAAGAAGAAACAACGAGGAACCAAAAAUGUAUCUGCUAUUUUGAGAAGAGAGAAGAGAAAAAAAUUUCUAACAACAGGCAAUUCACUCUCAAUAGAAUUUGUUGCAAACUGACCAACAAGAUUGCUAUUGCAAAACCACCACCAGGCUUAAAGGCUGCUUUAUUUCACAGACUAUUUCUGCAAUGGAAUUUUAUGCUUAGAGAUUUUUGAAAUCAAUAAGAUACACAUGUGCAUACACACUUCAAAAUACACUUUGGUAACUCUUAAGCAUGGUCUCUGAUAAACAUAUGGGGACCAAAAGAAGAGGUCUAGGGAGAAGGUGUCACUCUUUUCCAUUUGAUCUAUUGACAGUGGUGGCGGCACACUAUAUACUGGAGGAUUUGGGCGCCUAAAUAAAGCAUC
This is a long non-coding RNA of Suricata suricatta (meerkat), 1300 nucleotides long. RefSeq lists it as uncharacterized. The record is from RefSeq and is a predicted model, not a curated record. The transcript has 4 exons. Lineage: Eukaryota; Metazoa; Chordata; Mammalia; Carnivora; Herpestidae.